CUCUGCCGAGGGGGCGGGGCGGCGGCGGCGGGGGGCCGCGACCGUUAAAGCUGUUGGAGGCGGCCGCGCGCGGGAGAGGCGCCUCAGAGUGGGCUGGUGGGGGUGUCUGGCAGGAGGUGCCGCGCUGCCAGUAAAUCUCAGGUCUGAUGGUAAACAGGCCUUCUGUGUCAGAUGGGGACUCCCGCAGUGCACUCUGCACACCUAAAUGUGCUUGCUCCAAGAAAGGAGGCUUCCCUUCCCUCUUUAAGAUGAAGUUAUUAAUGCAAAUGCAUACGUACAUGUUUAACACAUUUGUCCCGGUGUUCUGA
RNAcentral lists this long non-coding RNA (308 nucleotides) under Apteryx rowi (Okarito brown kiwi). Its description in RNAcentral is "lncRNA (ENSARWG00000002267.1)". The record is from RNAcentral. Lineage: Eukaryota; Metazoa; Chordata; Aves; Apterygiformes; Apterygidae.